RNAcentral lists this microRNA precursor (71 nucleotides) under Paramuricea clavata. The record is from RNAcentral. Lineage: Eukaryota; Metazoa; Cnidaria; Anthozoa; Malacalcyonacea; Plexauridae.
UUUGUAUUACGUGCGGAAAUUGUUACCAUUUUAGAGCCGAAAAUGGUAACAAUUUCCGCACGUAAUACAAA